RNAcentral lists this long non-coding RNA (2435 nucleotides) under Homo sapiens (human). RNAcentral describes it as "uncharacterized LOC101927450 (LOC101927450)". The record is from RNAcentral. Lineage: Eukaryota; Metazoa; Chordata; Mammalia; Primates; Hominidae.
AGAUCUCAAAAAUGGGAGACCACAUGCAAAGGAAACUACGUUUUCACAACACAUGGUUGGAGAGGUCAAAGAAAAUGUGAUGUAUUACUUUCAGUUUUAUCAUCAGCGGGACCAUCUGGGGCUAGUGGUGGGGCUCGAAGAAGGAAGAAGAAAAUAAAGAAGAGAAUCAGAUCCCCAAAGUAGAGAGACUGAAUUACAGCAAUGACCUCGACUUGCAUUUACUAGGAUGAGCUGUUGUGAGAGUAAAUAUGAAAGCUGGAAUUCAUAAUUCAUUCAACCUGUGUUUCAUCCACUUACCCCAAACCAAAACAUAACAAUCAUUGAGCAUCCACCAUUCACAUGUAACUGUGGUGGAGAGAGAGAUGAAAAAACACAAUGCCUAACCUCAAGGAGUUUACACACUACUCAGAGAGAUAAAUACCAUAGACAAAUAAUUAUACUAUACUGUAAGGCUACUUGGGCUAAACCUAUACCAAAAUCACAAGGACAUUGAGGCUCAGUAAGGUGAGAUGACUUGCUCCAGAUCACACAGGGUUGAAGCUGAAAUUUUAAUCUAGAGUCCAGUUCCAGAAUCUGUGCUUAUAAACUGUGCUGUGCUGUAUUUGCUUUAAGAAUAUAAGGGUCAUUUCCUGCUUGAAUAAUCAAGGAAGGCAUGAUGGAAAAGUUAGGGGCAUCAUAAAACCCAAAGACAAUUCUGAUCAUAUUUUUACUUCAACACUUCUACAGGAAAGAAAGCCUUCCCAUCACUAAUAGUGAGUUCUCUGGCAGCAAGCCUCAGUCAUUGCAGCAGGAAUACUGCUUAAAUAUUAUACUGGUAUGUGUGGGGUAAUUUGAAGUCUACCAUCCAUCACCAUCACCACCAAACCUAAUGUAUGAGUUGCCUAUUCCUUCCCGGGAUAGCACACUGCACUACUGAGGAUCACUGUUCUAUGGAAGUAGUUUUCAAACUUGAGCAUGCAUAAAAAGAAGAGCGAAGAGGCUUGUUAAAUACAGCUCUCUUUCAGCAGGUCUGGGGUACUUACUACUAAUGAGCAGUUUUUAGGAAGCAUCCUAGAUGAUUCCGUGUAUCCAGGUGGGCCACAGAAACAUUUGCAAAAACAUUACAUCGGAGCCAUUGUUGACUAUCCCUAAUCUGUAAGAAGCCAAUAGUCAUCGAGACCCAAUGGAGCAAUGCAGCAGAAUGGGGGAAGCCCAGGGGGCAGAGUGAGGGCAUCACCAGGUGAGGAAAAGCAAGAUGGUAAGGCAGAAGGGAAUGGGGAAACCCAAACAAUGAAGAAAUAGAUAUCAUCUAUAUAUCUAUAUCUUUCAAUUUAUCUAUAUAUCCGAUUACCAACUUCAUCAGGAAAACCUAUUUCAGUUUGGUGAAUGGAAAGGGAACCAGCCAAAAAAUAGUUAUUAUUUUCAUACAUCUUAGUAUUUUAUUUUCCUAAGGACUAUCCUCAUGAAAUAUAUACAUACAUUAUACAUUUACACAUAUGCAUAUACAUAUUUGAGAAUACACACACUUUGGCUUCUUAGGCCAUCUUAGCUUUAUUUUAAAUAUAAAGAAACUGGUGCUGAUUCUGCAUAUCAUAUAUAUUUGACUAUACUUCUAUAAAGCAGAAGUCAAGAGCCAUGAUUAUUGUGCAACAGUAUCUGCACAAUUAGAAUAUUAGCAAUAGCACAGUUUUACUUUUGUUUUACAGUUUUCGAACUAUAAAUCAAGUAUGAAUGGCUGAUGGAAAGCCGAGGCUAGCAAAUAGAUGAUAAACCAUGUUACCAUGGGAGGUACAGAUUCAUUUUUAAUUUUAGUUUCUAUGUUAUCCCCAAGCAGCUUUUUUGUAUAUUGAUACGGAAAAUAAUGCCAUCUAUAUGCUGCACAACAGAAGUGUUGAUUUGUUUCUGUACCCCUUGGCUUGCAUCCCUGUUGUCAUCACCCAGCUGAUAUCAUUGUGACAUUUUGACAUUGCCUUGUGACACAGUGACCUGGUGCUUCCAGGAGCCUAGAAGGACAAGUUGACUAAGACACAUGGUGCAUUAGGAAGCAAUGAAGCAAUUCAUUACGGCUACAGAGAGAGUCUGCUCUGGAGACAAGAAUUCUUAUCUAAAGCACAAAAUACUCUCGAUUCUAUUUGCUGUUCUGCUACUGAUUUACUAUGAGAUCUGUAACAAAUAAUCUCAAUUCAUUUGUAACUUAGAUUUCCGUCUGUAAAAUGGAAAUGACCCAACAUAUGUGAUUUUUUUAAAAUCCUAGGGCAGUGAUUGCAUUUGCAACCCAUUCUUGCCAAAGAGAAAUUCGGAAGCACACUUCAAGGAACUAAGUUCAGUGAUAAUCACACUUGAUUGAUUUUCAGUACUGUCACAGUUUGAGAACUAUUUAUUGCCCUGAUUUGCUCUUUUCUCUGCCCUGUAUUAAAGAUCUUGCAUGACAGUUGAUCCAUGAAAAAAAAAAAAAA